GAAUUCCCGGGGAAAGGCUGGCUCUGGAGAGUCCCUCUCUUUCCUCAUGCCUGGAGUGGCUACCUAGGACUGAGGAUAGAGGGAAUGAAAAGCAGGAGUUUGUUGAAGGCCUUCAAUAGGUGCACCUUGGGCGGUCAAAGCCUCCCAGAUGCUGGUCGUGAGUUUUUCACACUUUUAUAUAAGUUUGGUGCAUUUACAUAUCAGGGGUUAAUCCUCCAAUUACAGCCUCAGGUAAUGGAGUUAUUUACUCCAAUUACAGCCUCAGGUAAUGGAGUUAUUUACUCCAAGUUUGCUCCCCUCAAUUCACUGUUGUUUACAUCUCUGGGAGCUUGAGACAUUCAGGUAUUUUUGAGUUUCAGAGAGGAAUUCUUGCAUCUAAAUAAAAUGGGAGAAUAGCAGGCUGUGGAGUUGUAGAGUUAUACACUAAAGUAGUACAGGGUCUGAAAAAUAGAAAA
Non-coding RNA from Taeniopygia guttata (zebra finch), 455 nucleotides. The record is from RefSeq and is a predicted model, not a curated record. NCBI's taxonomy places the organism in Eukaryota, Metazoa, Chordata, Aves, Passeriformes, Estrildidae.